AUAGAGGCAGCAGUAGAGAAUCUUGUGCAAUGCACGAAAGUAUGACACAGAGAGGACACAUUUAUUUGAGCCCGUCAAAUUAAGUGCCAGCCGACGCGGUUAGACUUAAGGGCUGGUCUUUAUAAGUAAAAAGGCGUAAAGGAUGUGUAGGCCAAGAAAUUAUCCAAGAAGGUAAAUGGAAUUUUUUCUGGAGCGGUAGAAUGUGAGGAUAGAAAAUAGAACACCUAAGGUUAAAACUAUUUACCACAAAAUAGGCUGAAACAUGAAAGUGUGGGGAGCAAACAGGAUUAGAGACCCUGGUAGUCCACUCUGUGAACUUUGAAGAUUAUGCUUAGCAGACCCGAAAGGUAAAAUCUUCCGCCUGAGUAGUACGAUCGCAAGAUUAAAAUUCAAAAACUUUGGCUGUUCACUAUUUCGAUUAGAGGAGCGUGUAGUUUAAUUCGAUGGUCCGCGUGUUACCUUACCCCAGCUUGAAUCUAUGACCGGUAUUGCAUGGCCGUCGUAAGUCCGUGUGUUAAACUAGAAGGGACCCAAUCCGGGCGUUUGCCCGAAGGAAGUCAGGUCUUAUGAUCCGAAUGUUGGGGGAUUUUAUGCGCUACAUUUUCUUAUAUAAUGAGAGACUUGAAAGGUAAGCCUCUAAAGUAAGAGUUCGGAAGGUCGCUGUAAAACGACUGGAAGUUGGAUUUAAUAGUAAUCGGAAAGUAGGGCGUUCCGGUGAAUUGGAACAAGUGUUAGCUCAAAUUGCCCGUCACCUUUACCUAGAAGGUUAUUCGGACGCCUUAGG
RNAcentral lists this ribosomal RNA (784 nucleotides) under Anthothoe chilensis. RNAcentral describes it as "partial 12S ribosomal RNA". It matches the Rfam family "Bacterial small subunit ribosomal RNA", at positions 342 to 1433 of the family's 1533-position model. Lineage: Eukaryota; Metazoa; Cnidaria; Anthozoa; Actiniaria; Sagartiidae. The record is from RNAcentral.